GGUGCAUCUGUGGGAAGACAAAAUAUUAGAGCCUGUGGCUGGAGAGAUGGCUCAGCGGUUAAGAGUACUGGCUGCUCUUCCAGAGGACCAGGGUUCAAUUCUCAGCACCCGGAUGGCAGCUCAUGACUGUAAAUCCAAGAUCCAACACCCUCAUACAGAUAUACAUGCAGGUCCACGGAAUGAGGCUGAUUGAUGCCUACGGAAUCCUCAGCCCUUCAAUUAAACGACUGCGGCAAAAUGCGCGGCUGGGGACUCACACAUGACGCUCAGCUCCACCGUGCGGUUGUCCUGGCCAUAGGCAUUCUCUGCCAGGCAAGCAUAGAUGCCGUCCUCUGCUGGGGUCACCUCCUCCAGAUCCAGGUACAGGCUCUCAGCAACUGCCUCCCUCAACACCAUCCCAUCCCGCAUCCAAGUCAGCAGCGGUGGCGGGUUGCUGUCAGCCCCACAGAGCAGGCUGACGUGGGAGCCCUCAAUGGCCUCCACAGAGGAAUUCAUCUCCACAAUCACCGGGGGGUCUGAGGCCCGGAAUAAGGCAAGGGGUCAGCGGGCUGAUGGAUGGGUGCGUCAAAUUUAGGACUGCUCCACAAGCCCAGGCCCCGCCCCCAGGUCCCACCUUCCAGGCCCCUUUUCUGGGUCCUACCCCCCACCAGAUCUAACUUAACUCAACCAGCGUAGGCCCCGCCCCAAGCCCCUCCCUCCAGGUGCCACCCUCCAGACCGGUUCCGCCCCAGUACGCGGUCCACCAAGGCCCCGCCCCCAAUUCCUACCCAUCCAAGCCCCGCCCACAGUCUCCCUAUCCUGCCACUCCGUGCCCGGUCUCUUCCAGUCCCCGCCCCUGCCCCAACCCGCACCCAGGCUCACACUUGACGUCCAGACUGGCGUAACCCUCGAACUGCAAGGUGGUGUUGGGGAAGGCAGCCUGACAGCCCAGACGGUGGCCGUUGGCCUCUCUAGUAGGCACGAAGUGUAGCAGUGACACCUGCACCCAGGUGCCUUCAUCCUCCCGCAGCCGACCCAGAACAGUGGGCUCCCCUAGCCCCUCGUGGCCCAGCCAGCUCAGCUCAGGGCGCAGCUCUGGGCAGUUGUCCGGCACCAUGCAGCUGACCUCUACUUCCGUUCCUGCCACCACUUCUGGGGGCACCACGAUGUUGGGGGUGUCUGAGGAGGAGAAAAAGGAGGGUUCUGGAAGUAGACUCAGGUUGUGGUCAUGCCCACCUAUCCGGCCGAGUGUCUCGCAUCAGUUACAUCCUUUCCAGGUGUUGGUCACUCCCAACCCCUAACACACACACACACACACACACACACACACACACACACACACACACACACACACACCCCAAGCACUUCACACAGCCUAUCAGGAUGCUUCUGUGGCAUGUGGAAGUUCUACUUCACCAAGCUCCUCUGUGGUCCCUGUAUAUGUCCCCUACUAGGGUGGGCCGAUGGGUUGGGGAGGAGGGACAGUUGUCAGGGUGUGAUGUAUUGUAUAGGUAUAUGAUAUUGUCCUGUUUGGCUCUGUGUCAACUUGAGUCAUGUGGGCAGAUUGAGCCUCAAAUGAGAAAAUGGCUCUAUAGAUUGGCCCGCACGGUAAGUCUUCUCUUCGGAGCAUUUUCCUGACUGAUCAUUGAUGUAGAAGGAUUUAGCUAUUGUGGGGCAGUACCGUUUUCGGCCAUGUGGUCCUGGAAGGUGUAGGAAAGUUGUUGGGUGUGAGACUGAGGAGUAAGGCAGGAAGUAGCAUUCCUUGGUGGUCUCUACUUCAGGUCCUGUCUCCGGGUUCACACCCCAGCCCUCAGUGAUGGGCCCUGACCUGAGCAUUAACUGAAAUAUCCCCUGUCCUACCGUGUUGCUUUCGGUUACUGUGUUUACCACAGCAAUAGACCGCAAGCUAAGACGGGUGUGUUAUAAGGGUGGGGAGCUGUGUGUUUUGUGGGUGCACGUGCCUGGUUUUAGGGGUGUGAUCCACGGAUACUCCCAUGUGCUGAGUGUGUGGUGUGUGCUGUGGUCUCUCCACAGCAGGGCUAUAGUGUGCCUACUCACAAAGACCAAAUACUGCUGGGAAACUUAAUCUAAGGUCUCUAAUUAGGGACUCCUCUCAGAAAUCAGACAGCGAGAGUCCCUGAGGGUGGGCAGGGACCUCUAUUUAACUGCCAAACCGGGUCACAGCUCCCUGCCUUUUCCCCCCCCGACUUCUUCCCCCCCCCCAAUCUCCUGUUUUGAGGAUCAACCCUUGGACCUGAUACAUCCUCAUCCCUCUGGUUACUUUUUAUUUUGAGGGUCUUAUUAAGUUUUUAAAGCUGGCCUCAACUAACUGAGUAUCCCAGAUGGGCUUGUAGUCUCUGCUUCAGCCUUCCAAGUAGCCGGGAAUAAGGCCUAUACCACCAGGCCCUGUCUUCUUUUUUUUUUUUUUUUUUUUUCUUUUCUUUUCGUUUUUUCGGAGCUGGGAACCGAACCCAGGGCCUUGCGCUUCCUAGGCAAGCGCUCUACUACUGAGCUAAAUCCCCAACCCCCAGGCCCUGUCUUCUUAUUUCUCUUCUUUCCCUCUGUCUGUCUGCCUGUCUUUGUUUUUUUACAUUUAUGUGUGUGUGUGUAUGUGUGUGUGUGUGUGUGUGUGUGUGUGUAAGAGCGCACAAAUGGAUGUAUGUGUAUGGACACAAGUGGGCAUGUGCAUGUCCCGUGGAAUCAGAGGACAGACAACCUAUAGAAGUUGGUUCUUUCUCUUCUUGCACCAUUUCUACCCAUGAGUUCCAGUUAUCAGAUCUGGUUGUCAGACUUGGGGACAAGGACCAUUGUCCCCUGAGCCAUUUUGUGAUACCCCCACCCCCAUCCUCUGUCUUAUUAGGAAUACAACCAUUCGAGGCAAGUGUAAGAGGUCAGCUGUUAGUCCCAGUAGUGUUGGUCUCUACUGCAAACCAUGCGCCUGCCUAGCAGGAGCCCGGCCUCUACCAGCUGGUGCUGCAAACAGCUCCCACCCUUAAAACCAUUCACCCGAUGGCUGUGCGUGGGAAACCAAGGGCCAAAGAACUCGAUCGAGGCACACAAAGUCACUCCACUAAAGCAGGCAUCUAGAACCCUCAUCUCUGAUCCCAGCCCUCUGUCUUUAGGAAGAGUAAGGGCAGCCAGACCGCUUAGGGCCUGCUUUGUUUGUGUCUGUCAUCCACGUGGCCCACCCAGCUAAACUGACCUUUUCUUGGUCUGUCAUCCAGAGCAGGUGGUCCAGAUGCUGGGGACACCCACCUGCCCCUCCCUCUCUUCCCACCCAACCCUGGGGGACCCGACUCACUGAUGAUGUCCAGGACGCUGUGCUCUGAGAAGGUGUACUGGUUGUAGCCGCCCAGGUCACCUCGGAAAUAGUAUUUCCCUCCCAGCUCAGGGCUCAGCGUGCUGAGAAGCAGGGUGCAGUUUCGUAGGCCCAGGUCUCCCAACAGGCGGCUACGGCCCUGGAAGCUCUCGUGGACCACUUGUGUGCGGGACUUGAAGACCACUGGCGGGUAGUUCUUGGGGUAGGGACUGUUGAAAUACCAGACGCCAUGUACCACAGCCGGUCUGAGCUCAUCCGGGAAGUCGAAACGGCAGGGGAUGGAGACACACGUGCCCUCGAAGGCUGAGAUGGACGAGGGCAUCCAGGCACCCCAGUGCCCCCCUCGAGAAGCUGUAGAGGGGCAGAAGCAGAGAAGCUGUAGAGGGGCAGAAGCACAGAAGCUGAGGGAUGGAGCCCAUCCCGUUAUCUCCAAAGGUUCCCACGGUGGGCCGUGGGGCUGGAAUGUGGGGGCCGGGACACCAGGAAUUACCUGAAAUCAUUAUCCAAAACAGAGGCAGGGUGGUAAGGAAUAUCAUCUUGUCCAGCAAGUGGGCGAGCUAGGGCUGGAGAGAGACAAGAGCAAGUUUUCAGAAGACCAUGAGGGUGGGGAUGGGGCGCUGGGCCAAGGUUAGCUGCUGUCAUUUAUAAAUGCCAGGCUUCAUUCAGUGUCUCACCCUGCCACAUUCUGUCAGUUGGAGCUGGCUGCUUCGAGCCAGGAACAGCCCCCAGGCUUGAAACCAGUCACCCAGGGACGUUAAGCAAGCUUCCCAAAGUCGCCCAGCUCAAACAUGGAGCCCCAGUUCUCCCCUGCCUUUAACUGCAGGUAGCUCUAGAGUAAAGGACGCCACCAUCCCGCAGUGGGCAGCCAGAUCAUUCAGGGAUCUGCUCGUCUUGUGUCUGUCAUUCUCAUAGCUCAAGUGGACAAUGGUGUUACAACUCUGAUGUCUUCGAGAGAAGCUGUGAAGAGACCACCUGACUGCCCUCAGCCUUGGACACACACACUUGGGAGGCCAUGGCUUCGGCUGUCCUGCUCGCAAGUGUGUAAGUCACGAGAACCUGAACACACUGAGGUGGGCUACGGAGAACUCCACCCAGACACAUCUAUGGGCACAGGGCAGCUGUGGCCUUGGCACCUGUGACUGGAAGGAACGGGAGAUACCCAGAGGGGAGCUGGCCUUCCAGAAGCUUCCACCGUUCAUGAGACAGGGUUUCUCUGUCCAGCGCUGGCGGGCCUGGAACUCACUCUGUAGACCAUGCUGACCUGGAACUCUGAGAUCACCUAUCUCUGUCUCCUGAGAGGUGUGUGCCACCACCACUCUGGCUCGAACACCAAAAUUGUAAUCCCUCUGCUUCACAUCUAGCGUUCUAGGACUUUCUGGAGAACUGCGUCCACACGUGAGAAAAGGAACAUCGCAGCUCUUCGGUGGGAUCAAUAGUGCUGUACGGUGGUCACUUCUGCUCAUGUAACAGAAAGCCCCAGAGAACAGCAAACCAGAGAAUGCCUAUGUUUUAGUUAUGGUUUCAAAGGUUCCUGUGAAUGGUCGGUUGCCACCAUCAAUCACAGACUCCCUUCCAGCAACCUUCAAGUCACGCCUCCACUGACCUGUUUCCUUUUUAUUUUAUGUUUAUUUUUUUUUGGGGGGGGGUUCUUUUUUUCGGAGCUGGGGACCGAACCCAGGGCCUUGCGCUUCCUAGGCAAGCGCUCUACCACUGAGCUAAAUCCCCAGCCCCUUAUGUUUAUUUUUGAGACAGUGAGGAAGACGGUUUAUUGUGCACGAGCUACACUCGGCACAAGUGAGAACAGAACUAGUUGAGAAUGCUGCAGGCACAGGCCAGCGGGCCAGCGGGACUGUUUUGGUUGUGAGGAAGGCGCUCAGUCUCUCGGGUGAUCUUAGAAAGCGCGAUGGCGAUGUCCCAGAUCUACUGAGACUAUUACCAACAGUAGCACAGGGUCCAACAACUCGAACCAGCCCUUGCCCCGGCAGCAUCCUGACGCAGCAUCCCUUACCUCUGCUCCUCAGCCUUCGAGGGUACACAAGCCAAGUUCCCUCCCCCUCCUCAUCUUUCUUCUCCUGCACUUCAGCCUGCACAUUCGCUUGUUCCUCCACUUCCCCCUCUUGGCAGAGGAGUUUCAAGGAAGAUGGCUUCAGACCCCCCGGAGGUGGAGUUAGAGGUGGCUGGAACACCCUGACCUGGAUGCUGGAAGCCAAACUCCAGACCUCUGCAAGAACAGCACAUGCUCUUAACCGCCCCGUCGUUUUUCCAGCUCCGCAGUCUACUAGCACCUUCCGGGACAGCUGGGGCUACAGUGAAACUGUGACAGAGACCUUGCCUCCCCCCUGUCGAUACUGAUUGUUCAUGUUUAGGGAGCAUUUGUCAGUUUUCAAAACCUACAUUCUUCUCCUUGACUGAGUUCAACAGGAAGAAGCACCAGUACUGUGGGGAGCCAAGCCCUGUGUCUUCAUUCAAGGACCACCUAACUAGCUUCUGCCUUGUCUCCUACAGCAACCAGGCUGUUUGAGUCUUAAGAAAAAAGGCCUUUCAGUGGGUUGAGCAAACUCCGAAUCUAGGUAAUAUGGUGACCCGAAUUCACCCGGGGAUGACUGGCUUCUAUCGACCACCUUCAUUCUGAAAUACUCAAGUCACAUCCCAAAACUGUAGGUGAAGGGAGAGAGACUUCAGGCGAGUAUGAAAGAACAAGCCAGGGGGCGGAGCAAGCCAGGGGGCGGAGCAAGCCAGGGGCGGAGCUUUUCUUGAGCUCAGACGUUUUCCGGUACACGUGCUGUGGUGUGUGUGUGUGUGUGUGUGUGUGUGUGUGUGUGUGUGUGUGUGUGUGUGUGUGUGUGUGUGUGUAAAAAUCAGGGGCUAUGACGUCAUUGUCAGCGUGGGGGAGGGUUUGCUUCUGCCGUACUGAGUAUGCUCCUUGUCCCUGAACUCAACUCUAUCAGCCUUGUGAUCAGCGCCUCUGGUUUUGCAGUGUCCCAUCAAGCCUGUGCUUGUUACAUUAAACAAAGUAAAACCAA
This is a long non-coding RNA of Rattus norvegicus (Norway rat), 6321 nucleotides long. RefSeq lists it as uncharacterized. Lineage: Eukaryota; Metazoa; Chordata; Mammalia; Rodentia; Muridae. The record is from RefSeq and is a predicted model, not a curated record.